GCCUAAAGCGUCCGUAGCCGGCUUUGUAAGUUUUCGGUUAAAUCUAUAUGCUCAACAUAUAGGCUGCCGGAAAUACUGUAAAGCUAGGGAGUGGGAGAGGUAGACGGUACUCCGUAGGAAGGGGUAAAAUCCUUUGAUCUAUGGAUGACCACCAGUGGCGAAGGCGGUCUACCAGAACACGUUCGACGGUGAGGGAUGAAAGCUGGGGGAGCAAACCGGAUUAGAUACCCGGGUAGUCCCAGCUGUAAACUAUGCAAACUCAGUGAUGCAUUGGCUUGUGGCCAGUGCAGUGCCGCAGAGAAGUCGUUAAGUUUGCCGCCUGGGAAGUACGUACGCAAGUAUGAAACUUAAAGGAAUUGGCGGGGGAGCACCACAAGGGGUGAAGCCUGCGGUUCAAUUGGAGUCAACGCCAGAAAUCUUACCCGGAGAGACAGCAGGAUGAAGGUCAAGUUGAAGCCUUUACCAGACAAGCUGAGAAGUGGUGCAUGGCCGUCGCCAGCUCGUGCCGUGAGGUGUCCUGUUAAGUCAGGUAACGAGCGAGAUCCUUGCCUCUAGUUGCUACCAUUACUCUCAGGAGUAGUGGGGCGAAUUAGCGGGACUGCCGUAGUUAAUACGGAGGAAGGAGAGGGCCACGGCAGGUCAGUAUGCCCCGAA
Molecule: ribosomal RNA, 654 nt
Filed under: uncultured archaeon
Lineage: Archaea
Description: bacterial SSU rRNA
Rfam family: Archaeal small subunit ribosomal RNA
Source: RNAcentral